Molecule: transfer RNA, 88 nt
Filed under: Campylobacter jejuni
Lineage: Bacteria; Pseudomonadati; Campylobacterota; Epsilonproteobacteria; Campylobacterales; Campylobacteraceae
Description: tRNA-Leu
Rfam family: tRNA
About the family: Transfer RNA (tRNA) molecules are approximately 80 nucleotides in length. Their secondary structure includes four short double-helical elements and three loops (D, anti-codon, and T loops).
Source: RNAcentral
GCGGUUAUGGUGGAAUUGGUAGACACGCCAUCUUGAGGGGGUGGUGCGCUCCGCGCGUGUGCGAGUUCAAAUCUCGCUAACCGCACCA